RNAcentral lists this long non-coding RNA (258 nucleotides) under Homo sapiens (human). Its description in RNAcentral is "non-protein coding lnc-CA2-3:1". The record is from RNAcentral. Lineage: Eukaryota; Metazoa; Chordata; Mammalia; Primates; Hominidae.
AUGACUCCUAAAUAUUCUUCUGGGGAAAAGCAAUAUUUUGAACUGAGCGACGAUUUAAAUGUUUUCUACUAUGGAAGCAGGCUGAAGGGCUUGAAUGGGAAGAGGAUGGAUGGUUGCACGGCUGCCCUGGUAGAUGCUGAAUGUCCUCUGGGUGAUACCAUUAGUAAUGGUCCAUCUGUUCUCUUCCAGUGCCCUGAUCACCCUCCUGUGGCCAGUAAUCCUCAAACCUCAUUUUUUCUUAUUGAGGAUUUAAGCUGA